UACGUAGGGUGCAAGCGUUAAUCGGAAUUACUGGGCGUAAAGCGUGCGCAGGCGGUGAUGUAAGACAGAUGUGAAAUCCCCGGGCUCAACCUGGGAAUGGCAUUUGGGACUGCAAGGCUGGAGUGCGGCAGAGGAGACUGGAAUUCCUGGUGUAGCAGUGAAAUGCGUAGAUAUCAGGAGGAAUACCGAUGGCGAAGGCAGGUCUCUGGGCUGACACUGACGCUCAUGCACGAAAGCGUGGGGAGCAAACAGG
This 253-nucleotide ribosomal RNA is filed under the name uncultured bacterium. RNAcentral describes it as "partial 16S ribosomal RNA". It matches the Rfam family "Bacterial small subunit ribosomal RNA", at positions 524 to 776 of the family's 1533-position model. The record is from RNAcentral.